This 1521-nucleotide ribosomal RNA is filed under the name Enterococcus faecalis. Its description in RNAcentral is "partial 23S ribosomal RNA". It matches the Rfam family "Bacterial large subunit ribosomal RNA", at positions 69 to 1588 of the family's 2925-position model. Lineage: Bacteria; Bacillati; Bacillota; Bacilli; Lactobacillales; Enterococcaceae. The record is from RNAcentral.
CGAUAUGCUUUGGGGAGCUGUAAGUAAGCUAUGAUCCAGAGAUUUCCGAAUGGGGGAACCCAAUAUCUUUUAUAGGAUAUUACUUUUCAGUGAAUACAUAGCUGAUUAGAGGUAGACGCAGAGAACUGAAACAUCUUAGUACCUGCAGGAAGAGAAAGAAAAUUCGAUUCCCUGAGUAGCGGCGAGCGAAACGGGAAGAGCCCAAACCAACAAGCUUGCUUGUUGGGGUUGUAGGACUCCAAUAUGGUAGUCUGUUAGUAUAGUUGAAGGAUUUGGAAAAUUCCGCUAAAGAGGGUGAAAGCCCCGUAGACGAAAUGCUAACAACACCUAGGAGGAUCCUGAGUACGGCGGAACACGAGAAAUUCCGUCGGAAUCCGCGGGGACCAUCCCGCAAGGCUAAAUACUCCCUAGUGACCGAUAGUGAACCAGUACCGUGAGGGAAAGGUGAAAAGCACCCCGGAAGGGGAGUGAAAUAGAUCCUGAAACCGUGUGCCUACAACAAGUCAAAGCUCGUUAAUGAGUGAUGGCGUGCCUUUUGUAGAAUGAACCGGCGAGUUACGAUUGCAUGCGAGGUUAAGUCGAAGAGACGGAGCCGCAGCGAAAGCGAGUCUGAAUAGGGCGAAUGAGUAUGUAGUCGUAGACCCGAAACCAUGUGAUCUACCCAUGUCCAGGUUGAAGGUGCGGUAAAACGCACUGGAGGACCGAACCCACGUACGUUGAAAAGUGCGGGGAUGAGGUGUGGGUAGCGGAGAAAUUCCAAACGAACUUGGAGAUAGCUGGUUCUCUCCGAAAUAGCUUUAGGGCUAGCCUCGGAAUUGAGAAUGAUGGAGGUAGAGCACUGUUUGGACUAGGGGCCCAUCUCGGGUUACCGAAUUCAGAUAAACUCCGAAUGCCAUUCAUUUAUAUCCGGGAGUCAGACUGCGAGUGAUAAGAUCCGUAGUCGAAAGGGAAACAGCCCAGACCACCAGCUAAGGUCCCAAAAUAUAUGUUAAGUGGAAAAGGAUGUGGGGUUGCACAGACAACUAGGAUGUUGGCUUAGAAGCAGCCACCAUUUAAAGAGUGCGUAAUAGCUCACUAGUCGAGUGACCCUGCGCCGAAAAUGUACCGGGGCUAAACAUAUUACCGAAGCUGUGGACUACACCAUUAGGUGUAGUGGUAGGAGAGCGUUCUAAGGGCGUUGAAGGUCGAUCGUGAGGACGGCUGGAGCGCUUAGAAGUGAGAAUGCCGGUAUGAGUAGCGAAAGACAGGUGAGAAUCCUGUCCACCGUAUGACUAAGGUUUCCUGGGGAAGGCUCGUCCGCCCAGGGUUAGUCGGGACCUAAGCCGAGGCCGAUAGGCGUAGGCGAUGGACAACAGGUUGAUAUUCCUGUACCAGUUGUUUUUGUUUGAGCAAUGGAGGGACGCAGUAGGCUAAGGAAUGCAUGCGAUUGGAAGUGCAUGUCCAAGCAAUGAGUCUUGAGUAGAGUUAAAUGCUUUACUCUUUAAGGACAAGUUGUGACGGGGAGCGAAAUAAUAGUAGCGA